GUAGUCCAUGCCGUAAACGUUGGGAACUAGAUGUGGGGACCAUUCCACGGUCUCCGUGUCGCAGCUAACGCAUUAAGUUCCCCGCCUGGGGAGUACGGCCGCAAGGCUAAAACUCAAAGGAAUUGACGGGGGCCCGCACAAGCGGCGGAGCAUGCGGAUUAAUUCGAUGCAACGCGAAGAACCUUACCAAGGCUUGACAUAUACCGGAAACAUGCAGAGAUGUGUGCCCCGCAAGGUCGGUAUACAGGUGGUGCAUGGUUGUCGUCAGCUCGUGUCGUGAGAUGUUGGGUUAAGUCCCGCAACGAGCGCAACCCUCGUUCUAUGUUGCCAGCACGUAAUGGUGGGAACUC
RNAcentral lists this ribosomal RNA (350 nucleotides) under uncultured Clavibacter sp. RNAcentral's name for it is "bacterial SSU rRNA". It matches the Rfam family "Bacterial small subunit ribosomal RNA", at positions 790 to 1140 of the family's 1533-position model. The record is from RNAcentral. Lineage: Bacteria; Bacillati; Actinomycetota; Actinomycetes; Micrococcales; Microbacteriaceae.